This is a small nucleolar RNA of Rhododendron vialii, 89 nucleotides long. The record is from RefSeq and is a predicted model, not a curated record. Lineage: Eukaryota; Viridiplantae; Streptophyta; Magnoliopsida; Ericales; Ericaceae.
UGCAAUCUAUGAUGAGAAAGUGUUUAAUCAUUUCUGAUUUUCCCGUGAUUAUCAUAUACAUUUAUCACCAUCUUUCGGCUGAGAUUGCA